RNAcentral lists this non-coding RNA (96 nucleotides) under Desulfocicer vacuolatum. RNAcentral describes it as "Desulfobacterium vacuolatum Glycine sequence". It matches the Rfam family "Glycine riboswitch aptamer". Rfam says of the family: This family represents the bacterial glycine riboswitch. Glycine riboswitches usually consist of two metabolite-binding aptamers domains with similar structures in tandem. The aptamers cooperatively bind glycine to regulate the expression of downstream genes. Lineage: Bacteria; Pseudomonadati; Thermodesulfobacteriota; Desulfobacteria; Desulfobacterales; Desulfobacteraceae. The record is from RNAcentral.
GGACGAGCCUCUGGAGAGUCUCAGUAAUGAGCGCCGAAGGAGAAAACCGGCCAAGGGUCGGUGAAACUCUCAGGUACAAGGGACAGAGUGGAAAAG